This 465-nucleotide ribosomal RNA is filed under the name Vreelandella stevensii. RNAcentral's name for it is "partial 16S ribosomal RNA". It matches the Rfam family "Bacterial small subunit ribosomal RNA", at positions 338 to 795 of the family's 1533-position model. Lineage: Bacteria; Pseudomonadati; Pseudomonadota; Gammaproteobacteria; Oceanospirillales; Halomonadaceae. The record is from RNAcentral.
CCUACGGGCGGUAGCAGUGGGGAAUAUUGGACAAUGGGCGAAAGCCUGAUCCAGCCAUGCCGCGUGUGUGAAGAAGGCCUUCGGGUUGUAAAGCACUUUCAGUGGGGAAGAAAGCCUUGGGGCUAAUACCCUCGAGGAAGGACAUCACCCACAGAAGAAGCACCGGCUAACUCCGUGCCAGCAGCCGCGGUAAUACGGAGGGUGCGAGCGUUAAUCGGAAUUACUGGGCGUAAAGCGCGCGUAGGCGGUCUGAUAAGCCGGUUGUGAAAGCCCCGGGCUCAACCUGGGAACGGCAUCCGGAACUGUCAGGCUAGAGUGCAGGAGAGGAAGGUAGAAUUCCCGGUGUAGCGGUGAAAUGCGUAGAGAUCGGGAGGAAUACCAGUGGCGAAGGCGGCCUUCUGGACUGACACUGACGCUGAGGUGUGAAAGCGUGGGUAGCAAACAGGAUUAGAUACCCCUGUAGUC